GUCAGCUCGUGUCGUGAGAUGUAGGGUUAAGUCCCGCAACGAGCGCAACCCUUGUCUUUAAUUGCCAUCAUUGAGUUGGGCACUUUAAAGAGACUGCCGGUGUUAACCGGAGGAAGUGGGGAUGACGUCAAGUCCUCAUGGCCUUUAUGCCCAGGGCUACACACGUGCUACAAUGGGUGGUACAAAGAGCAGCCAGCUCGCGAGAGUGAGCAAAUCUCAAAAAGCCAUCCUCAGUUCGGAUUGAAGUCUGCAACUCGACUUCAUGAAGUUGGAAUCGCUAGUAAUCGCAGGUCAGCAUACUGCGGUGAAUACGUUCCCGGGCCUU
RNAcentral lists this ribosomal RNA (325 nucleotides) under uncultured Syntrophus sp. RNAcentral's name for it is "bacterial SSU rRNA". It matches the Rfam family "Bacterial small subunit ribosomal RNA", at positions 1054 to 1382 of the family's 1533-position model. The record is from RNAcentral. Lineage: Bacteria; Pseudomonadati; Thermodesulfobacteriota; Syntrophia; Syntrophales; Syntrophaceae.